AAAACUUUGCAAUGCGGGAAACCGUGACAAGGGAACUCCGAGUGCCCGUAAAUUCGGGCUGUCCGCCAGUGUAAAAAACUGGUGAAGAAAGGGCCGGGCAAGACCGGUGCCAGCCGCCGCGGUAAUACCGGCGGCUCGAGUGGUGGCCACUAUUACUGGGCUUAAAGCGUUCGUAGCUGGUCUGUUAAGUCUCUGGGGAAAUCUUCCGGCUUAACCGGAAGGCGUCCCAGGGAUACUGGCAGACUAGGGACCGGUAGAGGUGAGGGGUACUCCAGGGGUAGGAGUGAAAUCCUGUAAUCCUUGGGGGACCACCUGUGGCGAAGGCGCCUCACCAGAACGGCUCCGACAGUGAGGAACGAAAGCUGGGGGAGCAAACCGGAU
Molecule: ribosomal RNA, 381 nt
Filed under: uncultured archaeon
Lineage: Archaea
Description: bacterial SSU rRNA
Rfam family: Archaeal small subunit ribosomal RNA
Source: RNAcentral